GUAAGCAGCUUUGAGAGAGCGCGCGGCGCGCUAUUAUUUAUUCGCUCCUUAAUAGCAGCGGCUAACUAUUCUUUUUCCGGCCGGUAAAUGGGGAUUCCGGCCGGUAAAUGGGGAUCCGGCCGAUAAAAAGUGAGCGCGCUAGCGCUAUUAUUUAUUCGCUCCUUAAUAGCAGCGGCUUAUGCUUCUUUCCGGCCGGCGUUCUUGAAUUCUAAAACCUUCCUAUAGUUGAUGCUUUACUUUCUUUUUUUCCUAUUUCCCGUGUUUUUUGGAUGCAAGCGUUCUUUCAUUAUAAAACCUUCCGGAAGUAUAAAACCUAAAAUUAGAAAACCUAAGGAAACAACUGAAAAACUUGAUUGAUUUAUUUCCAAAAACCCGUGUUUUUUGGAUGCAAGCCCAUUAAAUAAUAGAUCCUAGAGUGGAUGCAAA
RNAcentral lists this long non-coding RNA (426 nucleotides) under Amborella trichopoda. RNAcentral's name for it is "long non-coding RNA (ATRI_LNC003363)". Lineage: Eukaryota; Viridiplantae; Streptophyta; Magnoliopsida; Amborellales; Amborellaceae. The record is from RNAcentral.